This 30-nucleotide non-coding RNA is filed under the name Homo sapiens (human). Lineage: Eukaryota; Metazoa; Chordata; Mammalia; Primates; Hominidae. The record is from RNAcentral.
UACCAAACCGCUUCUAACAUUUACAGGCCU